AGAGGCGAUGAAGGGCGUGCUAAUCUGCGAUAAGCGCCGGUAAGGUGAUAUGAACCGUUAUAACCGGCGAUACCCGAAUGGGGAAACCCAGUGUGACUCGUCACACUAUCAUUAACUGAAUCCAUAGGUUAAUGAGGCGAACCGGGGGAACUGAAACAUCUAAGUACCCCGAGGAAAAGAAAUCAACCGAGAUUCCCCCAGUAGCGGCGAGCGAACGGGGAGGAGCCCAGAGCCUGAAUCAGCAUGUGUGUUAGUGGAAGCGUCUGGAAAGGCGCGCGAUACAGGGUGACAGCCCCGUACACAAAAGCGCAUGUGCUGUGAGCUCGAUGAGUAGGGCGGGACACGUGGUAUCCUGUCUGAAUAUGGGGGGACCAUCCUCCAAGGCUAAAUACUCCUGACUGACCGAUAGUGAACCAGUACCGUGAGGGAAAGGCGAAAAGAACCCCGGCGAGGGGAGUGAAAAAGAACCUGAAACCGUGUACGUACAAGCAGUGGGAGCACCCUUUGGG
RNAcentral lists this ribosomal RNA (509 nucleotides) under Salmonella enterica subsp. enterica serovar Enteritidis. RNAcentral describes it as "partial 23S ribosomal RNA". It matches the Rfam family "Bacterial large subunit ribosomal RNA", at positions 42 to 590 of the family's 2925-position model. The record is from RNAcentral. Lineage: Bacteria; Pseudomonadati; Pseudomonadota; Gammaproteobacteria; Enterobacterales; Enterobacteriaceae.